AACGAACGCUGGCGGCAUGCCUAACACAUGCAAGUCGAACGAGACCUUCGGGUCUAGUGGCGCACGGGUGCGUAACGCGUGGGAACCUGCCCUUAGGUUCGGAAUAACUCCCCGAAAGGGGUGCUAAUACCGGAUAAUGUCUUCGGACCAAAGAUUUAUCGCCUUUGGAUGGGCCCGCGUUGGAUUAGCUAGUUGGUAGGGUAAAAGCCUACCAAGGCGACGAUCCAUAGCUGGUCUGAGAGGAUGAUCAGCCACACUGGGACUGAGACACGGCCCAGACUCCUACGGAAGGCAGCAGUGGGGAAUAUUGGACAAUGGGCGAAAGCCUGAUCCAGCAAUGCCGCGUGAGUGAUGAAGGCCUUAGGGUUGUCAAGCUCUUUUACCCGGGAUGAUAAUGGCAGUACCGGGAGAAUAAGCGCCGGCUAACUCCGUG
This 433-nucleotide ribosomal RNA is filed under the name uncultured bacterium. Its description in RNAcentral is "partial 16S ribosomal RNA". It matches the Rfam family "Bacterial small subunit ribosomal RNA", at positions 29 to 507 of the family's 1533-position model. The record is from RNAcentral.